This is a long non-coding RNA of Homo sapiens (human), 3094 nucleotides long. RefSeq lists it as uncharacterized. NCBI's taxonomy places the organism in Eukaryota, Metazoa, Chordata, Mammalia, Primates, Hominidae. The record is from RefSeq and is a predicted model, not a curated record. The transcript has 2 exons.
UUAAAUUUGCUCUUGUUAAAAACCACAUUAUUAUAGCCCUAAAACUUUAAAAUUUUGGUGUUUUAUUCCAAAUACGCAUAUUAAUAUGACCCUUACCCCCUUUCUUUUCUACUCCAAUAAAAAGUAGAAUGAGUAAAAGAUGACAAAUUCCUACCUUUGCUUUCCACAUUAACCACUGCUUGAAGAUAUCAACAUGUCGGCCACACUGAAUAGUUUUAUCCGCCGUGUCAAAGUCAACAUUGUAGAGUUUACCUGACUGGAAAAGAUAUUCAGCUUGCAUCUGAUUACAUGCAUCUAGAAGGCCCUAAAAAAGGAAAAACAUAUCUAACAUCCUUUUGUCUCAUAUGAAAAAUGUGGAAAACAUUCCUCCUCAGUGUUAAAGACUUCAAGAAGCUUUCCUUUGGAAGAUUAAGAAAUAAUCACUAGAAAAGGACAUGUUACCCAUCAUUGAGACAGAAAUGUUUUCUCAGUAUGUAUGUUGCUUCAGCACAUCAAAACCUAAAUUUAUGUGCAUUGAUGGGGUAUAAUUUAAAUGUUAAUUAAGCAGAACUAUUUGUACAAGAGGUAAAUAACAUUAUAUGUAUUUAUGUGUUUGCUAUAUGCUUUCCAUUUCACAUUACAUCAUUUGAUCCUCAUGGAAAACUGAUGGUGUAGGUACUAUAAUGACAACAUUUUUAUAGAUUGAAGAAACUGAGAAUAUUAACAUGUUAAGUAAUUUUCAAGAACAUAUAUCUAUACAAUGAUGAAUUUGGGAGCUGAAAAAAGGGCAGUUUGACUUGAGGUUUGUGGAAACACAACAUCCUAAGGAAGAUAACUCACACUCUGUUUCAGGCUAGGCUUGUGGAUCUAUAGGAAGGACCACAAUGUGACGGUCAGUGUUGAAGUAUUUCAGGGAAAUAGAAUAGAAAUUAUAACUCAAAAAUGAAAAUAGUUUAUGAAUCUGUAUUUUGGGUGUCCUAUUUACACAUGUAAAUAUUUUCUUCUUAGGCUCUUUUGAACCCCCUUUUUAAUCUUUUGUUAGAGCAGGCCUAGAGACUAUUGUAAACACUUUAAAACAGUAUCAUCAAGAUGAGUUUCUGCACAGCAAAAGAAACUACCAUCAGAGUCAGCAGGCAACCUACAGAAUGGGAGAAAAUUUUUGCAAUCUACUCAACUGACAAAGGGCUAAUAUCCAGAAUCUACAAUGAACUCAAACAAAUUUACAAGAAAAAAAACAAACAACCCCAUCAAAAAGUGGGCGAAGGAUAUGAACAAACACUUCUCAAAAGAAGACAUGUAUGCAGCCAAAAGACACAUGAAAAAAUGCUCAUCAUCACAGGUCAUCAGAGAAAUGCAAAUCAAAACCACAAUGAGAUACCAUCUCACACCAGUUAGAAUGGCGAUCAUUAAAAAGUCAAGAAACAACCGGUGCUGGAGAGGAUGUGGAGAAAUAGGAACAUUUUUACACUGUUGGUGGGACUGUAAACUAGUUCAAUCAUUGUGGAAGUCAGUGUGGCGAUUCCUCAGGGAUCUAGAACUAGAAAUACCAUUUGACCCAGCCAUCCCAUUACUGGGUAUAUACCCAAAGGAUUAUAAAUCAUGCUGCUAUAAAGACACAUGCACACGUAUGUUUAUUUCGGCACUAUUCACAAUAGCAAAGACUUGGAACCAGCCCAAAUGUCCAACAAUGAUAGACUGGAUUAAGAAAAUGUGGCACAUAUACACCAUGGAAUACUAUGCAGCCAUAAAAAAUGAUGAGUUCAUGUCCUUUGUAGGGACAUGGAUGAAGCUGGAAACCAUCAUUCUCAGCAAACUAUGGCAAGGACAAAAAACCAAACAUCACAUGUUCUCACUCAUAGGUGGGAAUUGAACAAUGAGAACACAUGGACACAGGAAAGGGGACAUCACACACCAGGGCCUGUUGUGGGGUGGGAGGAGGAGGGAGGGAUAGCAUUAGGAGAUAUACCUAAUGUAAAUGAAGAGUUAAUGGGUGCAGCACACCAACAUGGCACAUGUAUACAUAUGUAACAAACCUGCACGUUGUGCACAUGUACUGUAGAACGUAAAGUAUAAAAAAAAAAAAAGAUGAGCUUUAUCUGGUGUGAUGAUUGAGCUACACUUAGUCAUUAAGCAGCAUAUAUUUAUAGCACUUGUCAUACAUGGUGCUGAGACGGUGGAUUUGUGGUGAGAAAAAGGGUAGAGAGACUCUGCCUUCAUAGAACUUAUAGUCUGAGUGGCAGGAGGCUGGGUAGGUAAGGGCGGGGCUGGGCACUAAACACAAUGUCACAGAUAUGAGUGUCAAAUUAUACCCAUGAUAAAUGUUAUGAAAGAGUUUUCAUGGUGCUAUAGAAUAUUCUGGCCUAAGGGUCAAAGAUUCCAUGUAGCCUGGAAGUCAAGGAAGGUUUCUGAGUAAAAAAACAUUUUUGAAUUCAGCAGUUUAGCAAGAAAUAUGCUGGGGGAGAGAGCUGUGGGAGUGAAAGUUGAGUCAGACCAUGACAGGUGGAAGGAGAAAGAUGUACUGAGAUCAUAAUGGAGACAGCUGCACUACAUCUUUUUGGAACUAAAAGGAAGCCAAUGGAUAUGAAUAAAACAAUAGGAAACACAAGAGGAAGUAAGAGUUCAGAGAAAGCCACAGACUACACCUCCUGGGCCUUUGUGCAAUGUCAAGGAUUUCAAUCCCCAUCUUAGCGACAAAGAGAAGCUACUUAAUGAGUUUAUAUUUUGCAUUAUGAAAAGCUUCUUCUGAAUAAAUGAAAUUGAUGUGGCUAGCAUUUUGUUUGAAAAACAUAUGGUAUUUUCAUUCCCUUGAGUGUAAAAAUGAAGAAUAUUUAAAAUCAGUUUAAAUAUAUUUUAUGUACAAUUAUACAAAAAUGUAUAUAUUCACUUCCUUAUAGUCAAUUCCUUGUCAGCAUUGAAAAAUAUGUUCAUUAAAUAUUGAUAUACUCAAUUUGUUCUACUCAUUAAGGCAUGAAUUAAAAUUGUCUAUCUGCAGCCCUGGACAUUCAAAUGGUUAAUAGAUAAGAAUAGAACGUUCCUCUUAAUUCAAGGCUGCACCAAGAUAGACUUGUUUUCCAGAAAUGACCUUAAACAUAAUAAAUGCUUAUUGGUUUGGGAA